This is a regulatory RNA element of Nocardiopsis dassonvillei subsp. dassonvillei DSM 43111, 69 nucleotides long. It matches the Rfam family "Actino-pnp RNA". The record is from Rfam. NCBI's taxonomy places the organism in Bacteria, Bacillati, Actinomycetota, Actinomycetes, Streptosporangiales, Nocardiopsidaceae.
GCCGGUCCUCGGUAGUGGUCCCCGGACAUUCCCCUCAGGGCAUGCCGUGGGCUUCGAUCGAUGACCGGC